This 1251-nucleotide long non-coding RNA is filed under the name Equus asinus (donkey). RNAcentral's name for it is "lncRNA (ENSEASG00005025241.1)". Lineage: Eukaryota; Metazoa; Chordata; Mammalia; Perissodactyla; Equidae. The record is from RNAcentral.
GGGGACAAGGAGGCAGCGAGCGCAGAGCGCCGAGCUCCCAGCCGCUCGUCUGCGCAGCCCGGGUCACCUAGAGCCCAGCCCGCAGACAGGGUCGGCUGGGGCGGAGCUUCCCCACCGCCGCCGGAGCCGGGGCCGGAGCCUGGGCCGGGAGGCAGGGGGGAACCUGUUGCUGAAGUCCAGCGAAGGCGCUUCUGCUUCCCAGCGCCGCCGGGGCUCCGUCCUUGCACCGUGGGCAGGGGCCGGCAGGGGUCUAUUGGGCAGACGACCUAACUACUGCUGAUCUGGGGAUUCCUGAUUGACUGUGAAUAAAUAAUGAAACACAAAUGAUGGAACCAUGUCAACCAUAAAAUCAAUUUUCAGAGGGUACUAAGAAGAAAAUAAAUCGAAAAUCGCAACACUGAGGAGCAUCCACUGUUAACCUUUGGUGGGAGAGUAAAUCCAGUCCCUGUUAUUCCAUCUUGGCUAGAAGCAGAAGUUCCAUUUUGCUAUUUGUGCAAAUAUAAGAUCUUUUUCACAUUGUGUUGAUCCUGUGGAUGCUUCAGCAUUACUUCUGAUGAUAAUCUACCUUUAAAAUAGCUGACUGAGAUAUUAAAUAAAAUAUCAAAUGGAGAAGCCUUGAUAAAAUGAAAGGUGCCAAAUAAAUAUUAGCAAUUUUAAGGAAGAUGAUUUGUAGGUUUGUGAUUUGCGUGUGUUCUGGUUUUGGUAUAGGCCAUGAUAUCUGUAUUUGUCCUUUCAAACCUAAAACUAAGAUUGUAAGGCUCCUCCUGCUUUUCUGUUAGUGUUCAUGGAGUGGUCAAGCCUUUAGUUCUGUUAGGGCAGCAAGGAUGCAUGCCCUAUUCAUAAUGUACAUUCAUCAUCAAGCAUAGUGUUUAGUAGAUAAAAGACACAAUAAAUAUUGUUGAAUUAAUGUACAGUUUUGAGAACUGCAUAUUACUGAAUUUAUAUACAGUUUUGAGAGCACUUUUAACAAUUAAAAUUCUUGAACAUCUACUUUUAGUAUUGUUUCAAGAGAGCUCCAUCAAUAUCAACUAGGUCUCUUUCCUUUAGAAAUAUAUGAUUUUAAUGAAGUUUAUCCAUCUCUAGGAAUUUUACAAGAACUAAUUAGCAUCACAUUUAUACAUGUUAGAAAUUUGUGUUCACUCACUUUUAUAUUCAUAUAUUAAACAAAUACAUAUUUAUAUAAUGCAAAUGGAUUUUUUGCCAUAAAUAAAUCACAAUGUUAAAAGAUUUAAGCUGUUGUGUACAAAAUUU